This 255-nucleotide ribosomal RNA is filed under the name uncultured bacterium. Its description in RNAcentral is "partial 16S ribosomal RNA". It matches the Rfam family "Bacterial small subunit ribosomal RNA", at positions 524 to 777 of the family's 1533-position model. The record is from RNAcentral.
UACGGGGGGGGGCAAGCGUUGUUCGGAAUUACUGGGCGUAAAGGGCUCGUAGGCGGCCAACUAAGUCGGAUGUGAAAUCCCCAGGCUUAACUUGGGAACUGCAUCCGAUACUGGAUGGCUUGAAUCCGGGAGAGGGAUGCGGAAUUCCAGGUGUAGCGGUGAAAUGCGUAGAUAUCUGGAGGAACACCGGUGGCGAAGGCGGCAUCCUGGACCGGCAUUGACGCUGAUGAGCGAAAGCCAGGGGAGCAAACGGGG